Molecule: microRNA precursor, 103 nt
Filed under: Marmota monax (woodchuck)
Lineage: Eukaryota; Metazoa; Chordata; Mammalia; Rodentia; Sciuridae
Source: RNAcentral
AGUGGGAUAGCUGGGUCAAAUGGUGAUUCCGUUUCAAGUGUUUGGAGGAUUCUCCAUACUGCUUUCCAUGGUGGUUGCACUAAUUUGCAGUCCCACCAGCAAU